CAAACGGCCCUCUUUAGGGCCACAAAUCUAUGAGUCAUGCUUUCU
Non-coding RNA from Gongylonema pulchrum, 45 nucleotides. Lineage: Eukaryota; Metazoa; Nematoda; Chromadorea; Rhabditida; Gongylonematidae. The record is from Rfam.